Molecule: ribosomal RNA, 220 nt
Filed under: uncultured bacterium
Lineage: Bacteria
Description: partial 16S ribosomal RNA
Rfam family: Bacterial small subunit ribosomal RNA
Source: RNAcentral
GAUCCUGGCUCAGGAUGAACGCUAGCUACAGGCUUAACACAUGCAAGUCGGGGGGCGAGCAUGGUCUUAGCUUGCUAAGGCCGAUGGCGACCGGCGCACGGGUGAGUAACACGUAUCCAACCUGCCGUCUACUCUUGGACAGCCUUCUGAAAGGAAGAUUAAUACAAGAUGGCAUCAUGAGUCCGCAUGUUCACAUGAUUAAAGUAGUUCGUUACGGAGA